Molecule: small nucleolar RNA, 95 nt
Organism: Bombina bombina (fire-bellied toad)
Lineage: Eukaryota; Metazoa; Chordata; Amphibia; Anura; Bombinatoridae
Product: small nucleolar RNA SNORD14
Exons: 1
Source: RefSeq, a predicted model, not a curated record
UCGCAAUGAUGAAUAUGAUUCCAAAGCCAUUCGUAGUUUCCACCAGAUGUUACACAACAUAUGAUGGUUAGUACCUUCCUUGGAUGUCUGAGCGA